This 1449-nucleotide ribosomal RNA is filed under the name Staphylococcus aureus. RNAcentral describes it as "bacterial SSU rRNA". It matches the Rfam family "Bacterial small subunit ribosomal RNA". Lineage: Bacteria; Bacillati; Bacillota; Bacilli; Caryophanales; Staphylococcaceae. The record is from RNAcentral.
UGCGGGGCGGUGCUAUACAUGCAAGUCGAGCGAACGGACGAGAAGCUUGCUUCUCUGAUGUUAGCGGCGGACGGGUGAGUAACACGUGGAUAACCUACCUAUAAGACUGGGAUAACUUCGGGAAACCGGAGCUAAUACCGGAUAAUAUUUUGAACCGCAUGGUUCAAAAGUGAAAGACGGUCUUGCUGUCACUUAUAGAUGGAUCCGCGCUGCAUUAGCUAGUUGGUAAGGUAACGGCUUACCAAGGCAACGAUGCAUAGCCGACCUGAGAGGGUGAUCGGCCACACUGGAACUGAGACACGGUCCAGACUCCUACGGGAGGCAGCAGUAGGGAAUCUUCCGCAAUGGGCGAAAGCCUGACGGAGCAACGCCGCGUGAGUGAUGAAGGUCUUCGGAUCGUAAAACUCUGUUAUUAGGGAAGAACAUAUGUGUAAGUAACUGUGCACAUCUUGACGGUACCUAAUCAGAAAGCCACGGCUAACUACGUGCCAGCAGCCGCGGUAAUACGUAGGUGGCAAGCGUUAUCCGGAAAUAUUGGGCGUAAAGCGCGCGUAGGCGGUUUUUUAAGUCUGAUGUGAAAGCCCACGGCUCAACCGUGGAGGGUCAUUGGAAACUGGAAAACUUGAGUGCAGAAGAGGAAAGUGGAAUUUCCAUGUGUAGCGGUGAAAUGCGCAGAGAUAUGGAGGAACACCAGUGGCGAAGGCGACUUUCUGGUCUGUAACUGACGCUGAUGUGCGAAAGCGUGGGGAUCAAACAGGAUUAGAUACCCUGGUAGUCCACGCCGUAAACGAUGAGUGCUAAGUGUUAGGGGGUUUCCGCCCCUUAGUGCUGCAGCUAACGCAUUAAGCACUCCGCCUGGGGAGUACGACCGCAAGGUUGAAACUCAAAGGAAUUGACGGGGACCCGCACAAGCGGUGGAGCAUGUGGUUUAAUUCGAAGCAACGCGAAGAACCUUACCAAAUCUUGACAUCCUUUGACAACUCUAGAGAUAGAGCCUUCCCCUUCGGGGGACAAAGUGACAGGUGGUGCAUGGUUGUCGUCAGCUCGUGUCGUGAGAUGUUGGGUUAAGUCCCGCAACGAGCGCAACCCUUAAGCUUAGUUGCCAUCAUUAAGUUGGGCACUCUAAGUUGACUGCCGGUGACAAACCGGAGGAAGGUGGGGAUGACGUCAAAUCAUCAUGCCCCUUAUGAUUUGGGCUACACACGUGCUACAAUGGACAAUACAAAGGGCAGCGAAACCGCGAGGUCAAGCAAAUCCCAUAAAGUUGUUCUCAGUUCGGAUUGUAGUCUGCAACUCGACUACAUGAAGCUGGAAUCGCUAGUAAUCGUAGAUCAGCAUGCUACGGUGAAUACGUUCCCGGGUCUUGUACACACCGCCCGUCACACCACGAGAGUUUGUAACACCCGAAGCCGGUGGAGUAACCUUUUAGGAGCUAGCCGUCGAAAGGGG